UACGUAGGUGACAAGCGUUGUCCGGAUUUACUGGGCGUAAAGAGCGCGCAGGCGGUCGAUCAAGUCGAGUGUGAAAGCCCCCGGCUCAACUGGGGAGGGUCAUUCGAUACUGAUCGACUCGAAGGCAGGAGAGGGUAGUGGAAUUCCCGGUGUAGUGGUGAAAUUCGUAGAUAUUCGCAAGAACACCAGUGGCGAAGGCGGCUCACUGGCCCGGUACUGACGCUGAGGCACGAAAGCGUGGGGAGCAAACAGG
This 253-nucleotide ribosomal RNA is filed under the name uncultured bacterium. Its description in RNAcentral is "partial 16S ribosomal RNA". It matches the Rfam family "Bacterial small subunit ribosomal RNA", at positions 524 to 776 of the family's 1533-position model. The record is from RNAcentral.